RNAcentral lists this small RNA (76 nucleotides) under Streptomyces bingchenggensis BCW-1. Its description in RNAcentral is "nrdJ RNA". It matches the Rfam family "nrdJ RNA". Lineage: Bacteria; Bacillati; Actinomycetota; Actinomycetes; Kitasatosporales; Streptomycetaceae. The record is from Rfam by way of RNAcentral.
GCUUGCCGGGGGCGAGAUGCCCCCGGAUGAACGACAUACACCGUGCCAUGGGAAGAAAUGGGCACAUCAGGGCGUU